UAUAAUUAUUGCCGCUGCUGCCGCUUUUUAUUUUUAAUUUUGUUUGGCUGUCGCUCAAAUUUCGACCGAGAGAGCGGCGAAUCGAAUAGGAAAAAGAGCGAGAGGAUCGAGUUGGAGAAACGCACAAAUCUCUGAGCACAAUUGGAAAAGCCAAAGGAAUUGGAAUCGGGAGCUGCGUUCUAACAUAUGGCGGCGAAAAAAGUGCCAAUUCGGAGAGCGCCACCGAUCGCUCAAAGUGCUAUAGUUAAUAAAUUUCAGAAAAAUGCAACCCUGCGUCUCCCCUCUCCCGCUCUACAACUUGCAAGAAUGACACGAUGAUGACGUUAAUGGGAACUCUGUAGCUGUGGAUGUGCGCAGCUCACAUACACAAGCACACACAGAUACUCUCGCACUCGCUUACAAAAACACUCACACACCAAUACACUGACAGCAAAGUCGACCGCAAAGUCAUUUGAUUAAUAAUUCCCGCAUUCUUUUUUGCCUGCGAAUUUCACAAAUAAACACAAUUGUUUCCAAUCA
Molecule: long non-coding RNA, 519 nt
Organism: Drosophila sechellia
Lineage: Eukaryota; Metazoa; Arthropoda; Insecta; Diptera; Drosophilidae
Exons: 2
Source: RefSeq, a predicted model, not a curated record